This 506-nucleotide ribosomal RNA is filed under the name uncultured bacterium. Its description in RNAcentral is "bacterial SSU rRNA". It matches the Rfam family "Bacterial small subunit ribosomal RNA", at positions 29 to 512 of the family's 1533-position model. The record is from RNAcentral.
AGCGAACGUUAGCGGCGGGCCUAACACAUGCAAGUCGAACGCGAAAGGUCUUCGGACUGAGUAGAGUGGCGCACGGGUGAGUAACACGUAGGUAAUCUACCCUUUGGCGGGGGAUAACGUUCCGAAAGGAGCGCUAAUACCGCAUAAGACCACGGAGUCUCCGGACGCUGUGGGAAAAGGUGGCCUCUUCUUGAAAGCUAUCACCGAAGGAUGAGCCUGCGUCCCAUCAGCUAGUUGGUAAGGUAAUGGCUUACCAAGGCGAAGACGGGUAGCUGGUUUGAGAGAAUGAUCAGCCACACUGGCACUGGAACACGGGCCAGACUCCUACGGGAGGCAGCAGUGAGGAAUAUUGGGCAAUGGGCGAAAGCCUGACCCAGCCACGCCGCGUGAGUGAUGAAGGCCCUCGGGUCGUAAAGCUCUGUGGAGAGGGACGAAAACCCUGGUUUCAAAUAGGCUCCAGGCUUGACGGUACCUCUUUAGCAAGCACCGGCUAACUCUGUGCCAGC